This 253-nucleotide ribosomal RNA is filed under the name uncultured bacterium. Its description in RNAcentral is "partial 16S ribosomal RNA". It matches the Rfam family "Bacterial small subunit ribosomal RNA", at positions 524 to 776 of the family's 1533-position model. The record is from RNAcentral.
GACGAACCGUGCGAACGUUGUUCGGAAUCACUGGGCUUAAAGGGCGCGUAGGCGGGCUGUCAAGUCUGGGGUGAAAUCCCGCGGCUUAACCGUGGAACUGCCUUAGAUACUGACGGCCUCGAGGAAGGUAGGGGCAUGCGGAACUGUAGGUGGAGCGGUGAAAUGCGUUGAUAUCUACAGGAACUCCGGUGGCGAAAGCGGCGUGCUGGACCUUUUCUGACGCUGAGGCGCGAAAGCUAGGGGAGCAAACGGG